UGGCCUUGGAGAAAAUUAAUUAAAGUUCAAAAGAAUAUUUAAAAUUACGGCUUACGCGCCCUACGAUAUUCAAACUCCUUCUCCAGACCUAGUUGAUAACAAUCAGGCGAUCAAGGUUGCCAUCUGAUCCUCGCAAUCGAUUUAUCGAUUAUAAAAAACUAUCUUUUCCGACCCAAGCCGCGUGUGUCCCGAAAAAGUGCAUAGAAACUUUAGAAAAAUCUAACGGCAUCCGCGACCUAAUCAGCUAAUUUAGCUAACAGGCGCACACCCGCCAAUCCCGAGCUAAAAGUACGAAGGCCCAAUACCGCGUGCUAUCACGGCUGGCUGCUCCGGCAUUGCCUUACAUAAAGGACUUAGGAUUAAAUUCAACUAUAUCAGUCAAACAUAGGGCAGCUCUACCUCCCAUUUUCAUCAUCGUCGGCCCCGUUCAAGCCUUACAAAAGGGCUAGCAACAACCCUUUCGACCCAGCAGCUAUUUUUAGCGUGGUCGCAGCAACACAAUUCAAGCUUUAACUUCGUCGCCUGUUGUUGUUAUCCUACCCGCGCUAUUCAAGGCGGCUGAGCAGCGCGAAGGUAAGAUCAACGUCCACAACUGCGACGAGGGAGGAAUCUUCGCCAGGCCAGGAUCGACAGAUACUUAAAAACCAAGAUAAACCCCUUUGCCAUUUGACUAAAUUUUAUUUUUAUUAAAGCUUUUAGGCUAGUGUUGGCGCUUUUGUUGAAAAAGAAAUAUUAAAGUUAAAGUUUUUCUGAGCACAUUCUUUUCUCCUCUGCCACGAAAAUGUAAACAAUUAUAAAUAUGUAGACGCAGAACGCAUAGAAUGCGGAGAAGUUGAAGAGAGACAUAUUAAAUGCGAGGAUAAAAACAAAAA
Long non-coding RNA from Drosophila yakuba, 872 nucleotides. RefSeq lists it as uncharacterized. Lineage: Eukaryota; Metazoa; Arthropoda; Insecta; Diptera; Drosophilidae. The record is from RefSeq and is a predicted model, not a curated record. The transcript has 3 exons.